Molecule: ribosomal RNA, 468 nt
Filed under: uncultured bacterium
Lineage: Bacteria
Description: partial 16S ribosomal RNA
Rfam family: Bacterial small subunit ribosomal RNA
Source: RNAcentral
GACGAACGCUGGCGGCGUGCUUAACACAUGCAAGUCGAACGGAAAGGCCCUGCUUUUGUGGGGUGCUCGAGUGGCGAACGGGUGAGUAACACGUGAGUAACCUGCCCUUGACUUUGGGAUAACUUCAGGAAACUGGGGCUAAUACCGGAUAGGAGCUCCUGCUGCAUGGUGGGGGUUGGAAAGUUUCGGCGGUUGGGGAUGGACUCGCGGCUUAUCAGCUUGUUGGCGGGGUAGUGGCUUACCAAGGCUUUGACGGGUAGCCGGCCUGAGAGGGUGACCGGCCACAUUGGGACUGAGAUACGGCCCAGACUCCUACGGGAGGCAGCAGUGGGGAAUAUUGCACAAUGGGCGGAAGCCUGAUGCAGCAACGCCGCGUGCGGGAUGACGGCCUUCGAGUUGUAAACCGCUUUCGCCUGUGACGAAGCGUGAGUGACGGUAAUGGGUAAAGAAGCACCGGCUAACUACGUG